This 73-nucleotide transfer RNA is filed under the name Zootermopsis nevadensis. It matches the Rfam family "tRNA". From Rfam's summary of the family: Transfer RNA (tRNA) molecules are approximately 80 nucleotides in length. Their secondary structure includes four short double-helical elements and three loops (D, anti-codon, and T loops). The record is from Rfam by way of RNAcentral. Lineage: Eukaryota; Metazoa; Arthropoda; Insecta; Blattodea; Termopsidae.
GCCACGGUGGUCGCGCGGUUAGAACGCUGGCCUUGUAAUCCUGGGGUCUCGGGUUCGAUUCCCGGCUGUGCCC